GGGGGCCCGCAAGUGGUGGAGCAUGUGGUUUAAUUCGAUGAUACGCGAGGAACCUUACCUAGGCUAGAAUGCGCGUGACCGGCUCAGAGAUGAGCUUUUCCUUCGGGACACAAAGCAAGGUGCUGCAUGGCCGUCGUCGGCUCGUGCCGUGAGGUGUUGGGUUAAGUCCCGCAACGAGCGCAACCCCUAUGUUUAGUUGCCAGCAUGUAAUGAUGGGGACUCUAGACAGACUGCCUGCGCAAGCAGUGAGGAAGGCGGGGACGACGUCAGGUCAUCAUGGCCCUUACGCCUAGGGCGACACACGUGCUACAAUGGACGGUACAGCGGGUAGCUACUGGGCGACCAGAUGCCAAUCUCGAAAAGCCGUUCUCAGUUCGGAUCGGAGUCUGCAACUCGACUCCGUGAAGCUGGAAUCACUAGUAAUCGCGCAUCAGCCAUGGCGCGGUGAAUACGUUCCCGGGCCCUGUACACACC
This 474-nucleotide ribosomal RNA is filed under the name uncultured bacterium. Its description in RNAcentral is "bacterial SSU rRNA". It matches the Rfam family "Bacterial small subunit ribosomal RNA", at positions 915 to 1391 of the family's 1533-position model. The record is from RNAcentral.